UUUUUCUUUUCAUUACCUUUCAGAGUUUUUUUUCUUUUUCCUUGUUCUUAUAAAAAUGUUGACAUUUAAGUAAAAAUUGUCAUAAAAGCUUGAAGUGAAUAGUGUUACUGGCUAUUAUCAGACUCCAAGUUGUUUAACAUAAUAUCCAUGGGUUUAAUUUGACCUUACAACUAAUAUCCAAAGAUUUCUCAAGAAAGUUGUGGCAUUGGAUCUUGAAAGCUUAGAACAUGGCACUCGAUAUCAAAAAUGUAUUUUGAAGGCAGUUUGACAGGGUAUGUUCAGUGCCUAUUUUCCAACCUAACAAGGGGCAAACUCCUUAACAGUAAAAGCGAAAAUUGUCAUUAGUAUCAACAUAUUUAAAUUUGAAUAGCAUUGGUGGAACAGUUCAUCAGUUAUAGCACAGAGCAACAAAAAAUAUUGUUU
Molecule: long non-coding RNA, 423 nt
Filed under: Mytilus galloprovincialis (Mediterranean mussel)
Lineage: Eukaryota; Metazoa; Mollusca; Bivalvia; Mytilida; Mytilidae
Source: RNAcentral